GAACUACCGGGUUGUGCCCUGAGCUAAACGCAGAGAGAGGCUGGAGAGGGCGCCAUGGGGAGAAUCCGGUAUCGCCAUCUCUUCGGCAGGGGCAUAUAGCCUAGGAACACCGCGUCUCAUGUCGAACACGUUCGUGGAGGUGGUGGGCUCUAACAGAUGUGGUGGGGGAACAGAUUGCCACCGGAGCAUUUCCUCUCCGCAAAUCCGCACCACGUCAUGGUCGGGGUGACUGCGCGCUAAAUCCUUGGUGAGUAACCUUUGAUCCGUGUCGCCGAUUACUCCUCUUCAUAUUGCAUCUAUCGGAUUUUGCUAUAGUGCGCUUGGGACCGAAAACGCGGUGCUCCGGCUAUGGCGCCGCCGCCCCUGGUGACCAGCGCUACCGUGUCCUACUGUUGAUUGGGGGGGAACAGGAGCCGUUGGUUGUCUGAUGGACAGCUCGAAUUACCCCAGGGAUACCGCUUUGGUGGAAUUGAAAUCGCGACCGUUCGAUUUUGAUCCUGCGCGAGUGAAGCAUCGGCACUGUUUUAAAAUCAUGACCGUCCGAUCAGAAUCGGACAGUGCGGGCUGCGUACCGGUUCAGUGAGCCAAGAUCUAAUCCCGGCCUUCGAUAUUUGAUCGGACGGUCGAAGUCUAUCAAUACCCCUUCGCCGUGACCUUUAGCUAAAGAGCCCCUGAAAUAUUCAUGAAUCAACCCGCAGUCCCCGCGGGAGUAGUCUGAGUUUGGUAGGCUUUUGUAAUUUUAACCCCGGGCUUCUAUGUAUUAGUGUGCUUAGUCCAGCGACUUAAGAAAAUAGGAAAAACAAAUAAUAAAAUACUUUUUUAGCACAAAAAUAAUUCUAGAACUUGUGUAAUUCCUAGAACAUCCAUUUUUGCUCCAAAUUGACCCAUUCCAGUUGCAAUAAUUUUGUAUUAAUAUUGUCUAUCAACUAGUAACACUGUUUAAUCAUGAAACUUGAAUUAAAAUUGUUCAUUGGAAAUAAUCUAGUCUAGGUGCUUAAUAAUUUCGGAAAUUCAUAACUUAAUAACCGUAGCUCCGAAUUUAGUGGUUCUUGUUUCUACGAUCUCGUUACGCAGCGUAGAUUAUUAUUACGCAGUUUAUUCUUAUGUUUGGUGUGAUGUUAAUUUUGCCUAUACCAUGUUUGUUUGUAUUUCUCGACUAGUGUGAGGUCACGAGUCAUCUAAGGAUCAUCCUGGUACCUGGAAUCUCAAGUCCCAGGCAAGUUGUGUCCUUGAUCACUUACUUUUACCCAUCCAUGUUCUUAUUAUUCAUAAUGAUCUGCAUAGGUUAAUUUUGAUGGGAUCCAAUAGGUUACCCCAGUUUUGGCUAUCUUUAUACCUUGUUUUACCACUGAAUACUUUUGGGCAGUACUUGCUAUUGCUUAUUGUGGUUCUGGGUAUGGAGAUACACUAUUCAUGAUUACACUUUUAUUAUUUGUUUAUUGCUACUGUUCAUGUUAAGAUCAUUAUGUUAAUGGGAACAUGGAGCGACCACCCAGGAAACAGUGCUACCACAAGGGUAUUAUGGGAUGCCCUUGACUAACUAGGAAAGCUAGUGGAGGACUACCUUACCCGAAAGGGGCAAGGGCAGUAGGGGAGUGGUCAGUGUAGGGAGGUCCUUGUGUUUAUUUUGCUGCGAUGGCGGUCAGGCGAGGGAUCCCUGCACUGGAGCUUCCUAUAAACUGUAGCGGGUUUUCUGAAACUAGUGGAACUUUGUAAAGGCCUUGUAGUGUUACCCUGCCUCGCCUCCUCGAUAGAGGUGUAUGGGAUUGGUCGUCUCUUGGUAGAUGGGUAACAUGACUUGUGCGUAAAGAUGUGCAACCUCUUUAGAGUGUAAAACUGGUAUACUAGCCGUGCUCAUGGUCAUGAGCAGCUCGGACACUCACAUCAUUAAUUUAUGGAACUAAAUUCAAUGUCAUAUGCAUUGCAUCGUGGGUGUUGUUAUUACUUUUGUUCUACUACUUAAUUGGGUUGAUAUUUACUUGUACUUAGUAAUUGCUAAUAAAAUUUUGACCAACUUUAAAAGCAAUGCUCAGCUUCAACCAUCCUCUUUGGUAAGCCUUACACUACACGUGAGCUCCCACCUUUGGCGAGUUCAUACACAUUAUUCCCCACAACUUGUUGAGCGAUGAAAGUAUGUGAGCUCACUCUUGCUGUCUCACACCCCCAAAGGUCAAGAACAGGUACCGCAGGAUGAGGCGCAUGGAAGAUGCUGUGACGAGUUUGUGAGAGGUCUAGGCCGUCGUCUCCCAGUCAACUUUGGGUUGCUGAAUCGUUGUCUUCAUAUGAUGUAAUUAUUCAAUU
This 2301-nucleotide long non-coding RNA is filed under the name Zea mays. RNAcentral describes it as "long non-coding RNA (ZMAY_LNC000862)". The record is from RNAcentral. Lineage: Eukaryota; Viridiplantae; Streptophyta; Magnoliopsida; Poales; Poaceae.